GAAUCCCGUCCACCGAUUGACUAAGGUUUCCAGAGGAAGGCUCGUCCGCUCUGGGUUAGUCGGGUCCUAAGCUGAGGCCGACAGGCGUAGGCGAUGGAUAACAGGUUGAUAUUCCUGUACCACCUAUAAUCGUUUUAAUCGAUGGGGGGACGCAGUAGGAUAGGCGAAGCGUGCGAUUGGAUUGCACGUCUAAGCAGUAAGGCUGAGUAUUAGGCAAAUCCGGUACUCAUUAAGGCUGAGCUGUGAUGGGGAGAAGACAUUGUGUCUUCGAGUCGUUGAUUUCACACUGCCGAGAAAAGCCUCUAGAUAGAAAAUAGGUGCCCGUACCGCAAACCGACACAGGUAGUCAAGAUGAGAAUUCUAAGGUGAGCGAGCGAACUCUCGUUAAGGAACUCGGCAAAAUGACCCCGUAACUUCGGGAGAAGGGGUGCUCUUUAGGGUUAACGCCCAGAAGAGCCGCAGUGAAUAGGCCCAAGCGACUGUUUAUCAAAAACACAGGUCUCUGCUAAACCGUAAGGUGAUGUAUAGGGGCUGACGCCUGCCCGGUGCUGGAAGGUUAAGAGG
This 564-nucleotide ribosomal RNA is filed under the name Staphylococcus aureus. Its description in RNAcentral is "partial 23S ribosomal RNA". It matches the Rfam family "Bacterial large subunit ribosomal RNA", at positions 1325 to 1884 of the family's 2925-position model. Lineage: Bacteria; Bacillati; Bacillota; Bacilli; Caryophanales; Staphylococcaceae. The record is from RNAcentral.